GUGCCAGCCGCCGCGGUAAUACGUAGGUGGCAAGCGUUGUCCGGAUUUAUUGGGCGUAAAGCGAGCGCAGGCGGUUUCUUAAGUCUGAUGUGAAAGCCUUCGGCUCAACCGAAGAAGUGCAUCGGAAACUGGGAAACUUGAGUGCAGAAGAGGACAGUGGAACUCCAUGUGUAGCGGUGAAAUGCGUAGAUAUAUGGAAGAACACCAGUGGCGAAGGCGGCUGUCUGGUCUGUAACUGACGCUGAGGCUCGAAAGCAUGGGUAGCAAACAGGAUUAGAUACCCUGGUAGUCCAUGCCGUAAACGAUGAGUGCUAGGUGUUGGAGGGUUUCCGCCCUUCAGUGCCGCAGCUAACGCAUUAAGCACUCCGCCUGGGGAGUACGACCGCAAGGUUGAAACUCAAAGGAAUUGACGGGGGCCCGCACAAGCGGUGGAGCAUGUGGUUUAAUUCGAAGCAACGCGAAGAACCUUACCAGGUCUUGACAUCCUUUGACCACUCUAGAGAUAGAGCUUUCCCUUCGGGGACAAAGUGACAGGUGGUGCAUGGUUGUCGUCAGCUCGUGUCGUGAGAUGUUGGGUUAAGUCCCGCAACGAGCGCAACCCUUAUUACUAGUUGCCAGCAUUUAGUUGGGCACUCUAGUGAGACUGCCGGUGACAAACCGGAGGAAGGUGGGGACGACGUCAAAUCAUCAUGCCCCUUAUGACCUGAGCUACACACGUGCUACAAUGGAUGGUACAACGAGUUGCGAGACCGCGAGGUUUAGCUAAUCUCUUAAAACCAUUCUCAGUUCGGAUUGUAGGCUGCAACUCGCCUACAUGAAGCCGGAAUCGCUAGUAAUCGCGGAUCAGCAUGCCGCGGUGAAUACGUUCCCGGGCCUUGUACACACCGCCCGU
This 892-nucleotide ribosomal RNA is filed under the name uncultured bacterium. RNAcentral's name for it is "bacterial SSU rRNA". It matches the Rfam family "Bacterial small subunit ribosomal RNA", at positions 505 to 1397 of the family's 1533-position model. The record is from RNAcentral.